CUUUAGACUUACAAUAAUAUUUUUGUUAUUGAACCUUUGUUGUUGACUUUUGUUGUAUGCGAAUUUGGGUUGUUUAUGAUGUUGCUAGGUUGACAACAAUUUGUAUUUUUCCUUUGUUAAACUUUUCUUUCUUUUGUAGGUUCUGUUUUGGAUUUGCUUUACCAUCAGUGGCCACUGGGUUCCCUGCACUGUGUGGAUGGCGGUGGAGAAAAGGUGGUUGGGAUUGUGUGGUGAUUUGGUCACUGUUGAUUUUUGUGUUUUUUAGGUUGCAGUGUGAUUGCUGUGAGCUGAGUGUGGUGAAAACACUGCUGCUUGGGUACCUCAUCUGUCCUCACUUUCUGGGUAACCGGUGGCCAUUAGUGGUUUGUUUUUUUCUUUUCUUUUAUUUAGUUUAUUUACUUUUUUUCCUCCUUAUUUGCAAUAAAGAUGGAGACAAUUUGUAUAUUACAACUUGUGGAAUAAAAUAUAAUUGUCCUCCUAA
This is a non-coding RNA of Danio rerio (zebrafish), 481 nucleotides long. The record is from RefSeq and is a predicted model, not a curated record. NCBI's taxonomy places the organism in Eukaryota, Metazoa, Chordata, Actinopteri, Cypriniformes, Danionidae.